UACCACACCAUCAGCAC
This 17-nucleotide unclassified non-coding RNA is filed under the name Mus musculus (house mouse). Its description in RNAcentral is "oocyte_clustered_small_RNA9174". Lineage: Eukaryota; Metazoa; Chordata; Mammalia; Rodentia; Muridae. The record is from RNAcentral.